GGGGCGGUGAUGAUCCCAACAUGCCAUCUGAGUGCUUGUGCUGAGAUCCAGAGGCUGUUUCUGAGCUU
Leptonychotes weddellii (Weddell seal) is the source of this 68-nucleotide small nucleolar RNA. RefSeq annotates it as small nucleolar RNA SNORD95. NCBI's taxonomy places the organism in Eukaryota, Metazoa, Chordata, Mammalia, Carnivora, Phocidae. The record is from RefSeq and is a predicted model, not a curated record.